This 1143-nucleotide long non-coding RNA is filed under the name Prunus dulcis (almond). RNAcentral describes it as "sRNA ncRNA". Lineage: Eukaryota; Viridiplantae; Streptophyta; Magnoliopsida; Rosales; Rosaceae. The record is from RNAcentral.
GGAAAGCCAGUGGUUUGGUAUCAAGAACUCAUUCAACCACUUCACUGUUUAGAAACAGAGCCUUUUAAACUCCUUUGGGAUUUUUUGGUGGUACUUGAAUUGUGAAAACCAUAAAACCAGUUUGAUUAAUAUUUGAUGGAGAACUUGAUGGGUCUUCUGAGAAUUCACAUCCAAAGAGGAGUGAACCUUGCUGUUAGAGACAUGAGAAGCAGUGACCCUUAUGUUGUUGUCAAAAUGGGCAAGCAGGUAAUUCAUUUGGCUACUCUUUUUUUUUUUUGGUGUGUGUGGUGAAAAUGGUAUAUUUUUGUGAUGUUUUUCUUGAAUCUUGAUCCAUUUGGACUCAUGGGUUUCUGGGUUCUGAUAUUGCAGAAGUUGAAAACUCGGGUGGUGAAGAGGAAUUUGAAUCCUGAGUGGGAUGAAAGAUUGACUCUUUCUGUUGCAGAUGCAAAUCUUCCGAUCAUGGUUUGUGUGUACGAUAAAGAUACGUUUAGUUUUGAUGACAAAAUGGGAGAUGCAGAGUUUGAGAUUGGUUCUUUCAUUAAAGCCUUGAAGAUGCGCUUGGAAGGCUUAGCAGAUGGAACCAUAAUUGCCAGAGUGCAACCAAGCAGGGGAAACUGCCUUGCUGAAGAGAGCUGCAUCAUCUGGUCCAAGGGCAAACUUGUCCAAAACAUGGUCCUCAGACUCAGAAAUGUGGAGUGUGGGGAAAUUGAGCUCCAAUUACAGUGGAUUGAUGUUCCAAGUUCUAGGGGUCUCUAGAUUGCAUUCUCUCUCUCUCUCUCUUUUCUUUUUCUCUGUAUAGUUGUAUUUGGGGCCCUGGUUAUUGAAUUCUUUUGUUCACAGAUGUGAGAGAUGGUAUUUGAGUUUUUAUCCUCCCAUGUAUUGGUGUCAAUCACAUGGGAUGUGAGAAAAGUUUGAACAGCUUGAGUUUCAUUUUCUAUUAAAAUUACGAUUUAUUUGAUUCAUUCAAUUAUUGUGUGUGAUUUUGUUGAUGCCUACUAGCACCAAUCUGACCAGAACAACAUCUUCCUUCUGGUAAGAUCAAUAAUUAUUUUUUGGGGUUUUUAUCGCAAAACAUUCCUAAGGUUAAUUAAACUAUUAGGUUAAGUUCUUUUUGUUUUGCUUUUUAUUUUUGUGUCAUUCGUG